Molecule: long non-coding RNA, 430 nt
Organism: Gallus gallus (chicken)
Lineage: Eukaryota; Metazoa; Chordata; Aves; Galliformes; Phasianidae
Source: Ensembl
CGCGGCGUGGGGUGGUGUGGGGCGGCCGGGUCGGGCCGGUGCGGGCGCCAUGGAGUACGUGACGGCCGAGCAGCUGGCCGGCUUCAGCAAGUAUAAGAGCAACCCAAACAACUCGCCCUUGUGCAGGCUUUGUGGUGUGUGGUGCCUGGAGCUGGAUGCAGAAGAGAGGGGAAGGAUGCUUCGUGUGUUGCAUGCUGCGCUGGUAUUGCUGCUUCUUGUGCAUCUCGAUGAGCUGCAUGCAGUCUUUGCAGCUCCUGGGACUCAUUUCUGGGGGCUGCCACAGUGCCAGGAGCAGCUGCAGAAAGGGAAACUGAAUGAGGGCAGAGCGCUGCGGCUUGGUGGUGGUGCCAGCUUCCAUGGCUGCUCGCAGUGUUUUGGGUUCCAUUCCACCAAUCCUUGGUGUCCCAAGGUUCCUGCAGGCUUUCCUGGC